This is a long non-coding RNA of Dendroctonus ponderosae (mountain pine beetle), 499 nucleotides long. RefSeq lists it as uncharacterized. The transcript is spliced from 2 exons. Lineage: Eukaryota; Metazoa; Arthropoda; Insecta; Coleoptera; Curculionidae. The record is from RefSeq and is a predicted model, not a curated record.
UCCUAAAGUAUUUUUCGUAGUUGCUCGACAGACAGAUGAAAGAGUGUGCCGUUUUCGAUAUCAAUCAAGUGAUUUAAUUCAAUUAAUAUAUUAAUGUAGUACAGAAAAUUGCUUAAGAUGACUUUGAUGGCUAAAAUGUGUAACUUUUAUCAGAAGACCGUACAUUUUGAUAUUAUAUGCAAAAUAUCUGAAAAAUUCUGGAGCUUAAUAAACCCUUCGGAAAAAGUCUUGUAAGUUGCCUCGCAUUGGGAGUAGCGCCAUCUUGAGGAUAUAUUUGCUCAGAAGCUAAGUACAAAUCCUUUCGGAAUGUGAGGCCCAAAACGUCCAAGUCUUCUCUUCCAUACCGAAAGGCAGCCAAGACAUGGCCAAAUACUUUUCUGUCUUUGACAUAUUCAGGAUCGAUAAGAACUACACCAUCUAAAACAAAUCAGUAUAUCAAUAUGGCAUCAACGACGAUUUUCUUGUAUUAUUAUAAGUAAAUGAUGAAUCUUGCAAGUUU